Molecule: ribosomal RNA, 593 nt
Filed under: Protodinium simplex
Lineage: Eukaryota; Dinophyceae; Suessiales; Suessiaceae
Description: LSU rRNA
Rfam family: Eukaryotic large subunit ribosomal RNA
Source: RNAcentral
UAGGAUUCCCUUAGUAAUGGCGAACGAACAGGGAUGAGCUCGGCUUGGAAACUGGGGCUUCGGCCUUGGAUUGUAGCCUCUAGACAUAGUACCAACGGAGGCGCAGGUGUAAGCCUCUUGGAAAAGAGCAUCAACGUGGGUGAGAAUCCUGUGUUUCAUCUGCAGUCCACCGUGCACGGUACAUGUUCUCAGAGUCGCGUACCUCGGAAUUGGUGCGUAAAGUGGGUGGUAAAUUUCAUCUAAAGCUAAAUAUAGGCUUGAGACCGAUAGCAAACAAGUACCAUGAGGGAAAGAUGAAAAGGACUUUGAAAAGAGAGUUAAAAGUGUUUGAAAUUGCUGAAAGGGAAGCGAAUGGAACCAGUCCUCUGGCUGAGAUUGGUGCAUGCUCCUGUGAUGCCCGGCUGCUUCAGCGCAAGCGUGGUAGUUGGAGUUGAGCGGCUGUGUGUGCUGUUUCUCAGCUUGUGAGUCAACUUCUGUUCAUGCUUGGGGAUAGCCUCUUUGUCAUGACGAUCUCCGCGGAGUGAGUCUUGUCUUUGUAGGGACUCAGGCGUGUACAGCUUGCUGACGAAAUGGUUCUCUUCGACCCGUCUUGA